UACGGAAGGCAGCAGUGGGGAAUAUUGCACAAUGGGCGCAAGCCUGAUGCAGCCAUGCCGCGUGUAUGAAGAAGGCCUUCGGGUUGUAAAGUACUUUCAGUCGUGAGGAAGGUGUUAAGGUUAAUAACCUUAGCAAUUGACGUUAGCGACAGAAGAAGCACCGGCUAACUCCGUGCCAGCAGCCGCGGUAAUACGGAGGGUGCGAGCGUUAAUCGGAAUUACUGGGCGUAAAGGGCACGCAGGCGGUUAAUUAAGUUGGAUGUGAAAUCCCCGGGCUUAACCUGGGAAUGGCAUUCAAGACUGGUUAGCUAGAGUCUUGUAGAGGGGGUAGAAUUCCAUGUGUAGCGGUGAAAUGCGUAGAGAUGUGGAGGAAUACCGGUGGCGAAGGCGGCCCCUGGACAAAGACUGACGCUCAUGUGCGAAAGCGUGGGGAGCAAACAGGGAUUUAGAUA
This 452-nucleotide ribosomal RNA is filed under the name uncultured bacterium. Its description in RNAcentral is "bacterial SSU rRNA". It matches the Rfam family "Bacterial small subunit ribosomal RNA", at positions 340 to 784 of the family's 1533-position model. The record is from RNAcentral.